AUUGAACGCUGGCGGCAGGCCUAACACAUGCAAGUCGAACGAGAGGCGGACGGGUGAGUAAUGUAUGGGACUCUGCCUGAUGGAGGGCGAUAACAACUGGACACUAUUGCUACUACCGCAUACCAUCAGAUGUGCCCAGAUGGGAUUAGCUUGUUGUUGGGGUAAAGGCCUACCAAGGUGACGAUCCGUAACUGGUCUGAGAGGAUGACCAGCCACACUGGAACUGAGACACGGUCCAGACUCCUACGGGAGGCAGCAGUGGGGAAUAUUGGACAAUGGGCGAAAGCCUGAUCCAGCCAUGCCGCGUGUGUGAAGAAGGCCUUCGGAUUGUAAAGCACUUUCAGUUGGGAGGCGUUACCCACAGAAUAAGCACCGGCUAACUCCGUGCCAGCAGCCGCGGUAAUAC
RNAcentral lists this ribosomal RNA (406 nucleotides) under uncultured bacterium. RNAcentral describes it as "partial 16S ribosomal RNA". It matches the Rfam family "Bacterial small subunit ribosomal RNA", at positions 30 to 526 of the family's 1533-position model. The record is from RNAcentral.